RNAcentral lists this non-coding RNA (31 nucleotides) under Mus musculus (house mouse). The record is from RNAcentral. Lineage: Eukaryota; Metazoa; Chordata; Mammalia; Rodentia; Muridae.
UGGCUACACCUAAGAGGAAUUUCUUCUUUAA